CUCCUCCUGGGCCCAGGCCUGCUGGCUGGCACUCACAGGCCACUAUGAGCUGCACGGUCCUCUCCACGGCCACACUGACCCCAGGGAAGGUCACUCUGCAGGUGAGGUUGCUGCCGUGGUGACGAGGCUCUGGGGUGAUGGUGAGCACGGAAGAGCGGGGAGUCUCGGGGCCCAGGGUAGACGUGAGGUUCGCCCCAGUCCAGGAGAAGGCGGGCGGCGUCCCCUGCUCACAAGGCCACGGCACUGCACAGGUUAUGUUCCCAGGGAGGCCAGACUCCAGGGUCCCCGCGAUGUGGACGUCAGGGGUCUCUGUCAGAGCAGAGGAGGAUCGAGACACCGCAGCCCUGGGGGACCCCAAGUGUGGCCCCGAGGGCACCGCUGUCCCGCUGUCAUCGCCCCGGCCGGCCCCUCUGCCCCAGUCCUUCCGCACCCCCGUGAGGAGCAGGGGACCCGUCCCGCCCUGCUCCGCCCCUUGGCCCAUCUUAAGCUCACUCCUCACCCGUCACAAACACACAGAGGUGGUCCCAUCUGUAGUUGUAUUUCACAUCAUACCCUCUCUCCACCCUGAAGAAGUAGACUCCUGUGUCCUCUUUCCUUGCGUCUUUGAUGCGCAGGGAGCAGUUGUAGGACCUGGGGUCUCCGAGGAGGUGGAACCGGCCCUCGGUCUCUUUCAGCGCUUCACGGGAUGGGUGAUUUGUGGCCCCUGGAGGAUCCCGGUCAUAACGAGCCUCCUUCUUGAACCAGGAGCCCCAGGCCGGGGGAAAGUUGCUCCAGAACCUCCAGGGGUAGUAGACUCUGCAGGGUAUGAAGACGCUGUGUCCCUCCUGCACCAGCACGGACUUGGGCGCUGUCAGCUGGUAUCCCGGAGAAUGAGCCAGAGACCCUGCGGGAAAGGAGGGUCAGCUCUGUGCAGCCCCCAAGGCCCCUCGCCCGAGCCCACUCACCUGCCCACCGCAGGGGCGGCGGCAGCAGCAGCAGCAGCAGCAUCCUGGAGACUGACAGCUCCUGAGUGGAGCAGAGACAGAGGGCUGUGCAGGGGAAGCGCAUCUUUGAGAAACCACACAAAUGCCACAGGACAGGACCUGUGCUCUCCUAAGGCCCACACUCAGCCAGGCCUCCGGCACACAACCAACAGGGGACCCAAGGUCCUCCCCUCCUGUCCUCACACACCAGGGGCCCAGGCGUCCUGGCACAGCACGUACCCGUCACGUUGAGCUGGACGGUCCUCUUCACGGUCACACCAGCUCCAGGGAACAACACCUGACAGGUGAGGUUGGUACCGUCGUCCUGGGGCCGGGGGCUGAGGGUGAGCACAGAGGAGUGGGGGGCCCUGGGGCCCAGGGAGCUGAGGGCAGCUGACAUUCCUGGGGCCGGGGGCUGAGGGUGAGCACAGAGGAGUGGGGGGCCCUGGGGCCCAGGGAGCUGAGGGCCUCUGACAUCCAGGAGAAGAUGGGGGGCGUCCCCCGCGCACAGGCCCAGGGCACAGAGCAGGUGAGGUUGCUGGGAUGACCAGACUCCAGGGUCCCCAGGAUGAGGAUGUCAGGGGUGUGGGUCAGGGCUGGGAGGAGAGGGGACACCAGGAUCAGGGGACAGGGCUGAAGGAGCAGCCCUAAGGGAAGCUCAGGCCCUGACCCAGCUCUCCUGAGUCCCUAAUCCUCGAACCCCAGCCCAUCCCAAAUCACGGUCCAUCCCAGCCACCUCCAGAGGCCACCAUGUCUGUCCCUGGGGCCCAGGCCUUACCUGUCACGUUCACAGAGACGGGAUAUGCACAAUAAUUCCAUAGUUCAGUUCCUGUUUCCACCCGAAAGAAAUAUGCACCACUGUCACCUCUCCGAGCGUCUGUGAUGUACAGGGAGCAGUUCCUGGUCUGUGGGUCCAGGAGGAGGCGGAACCGGGCCCGAGUCUGCUUCUGCACCUGUCGCUGUCCAUCGUUUGUGGCCACCGGGGAGUCCUUACUUGUAUCGGCCCCUUCUUGGAACCAGUAGCCAGAGACAGGCCGAGUCCAGGAGUACACACCAGGGUAUGGGAAUGUGCAGGGCACAAGCACACACUGACCCUCCUGCACGGUCACCGACUCCGGCACCUCCAGCUUGUGGUUCCUGCUCUUAACUGGGCACCUUCUGGGUAAAGGCGCAACAGGUCUUCGAGGCUCCCUCUGCCCGGCUCCCUGCGCCCAAUGCCCCACCCACAGCAGCAGCAGGGGCAGCAGCAUCUCAGCUGGAGGCGCCCUGGCUCCGAGAGUGAGCAGAGAAGAGUGUGGAGGGAAGCGCUGCGUGACUGACAGGGCCGAGGAGGGCACAGGCCGGCCGCUGCACAGAAGAGGAACUCAGACGCACAUCCUGCUGCAGCGGCCCUCUCUGCGUAAAGUGCAGAAACCCCAGAGACCCGCCCAGAGACGGGCAAGGAGCAGAGGCCACCUCCUGGCCGCAUCUCGGAAGCGUCCCUUGAGCUCUGGGCUGGCCCAGGACCCCGGGGACAUCUGAGGCGGUGUCACGAGGCAGGAGGAUUAAACUGCCUGACUCUGCCUGGCCCGGCAAACGCACAGCCGUUCCUGGGUCCAUCGGUGGAUGGUGGGGAACGAAGGGCUCUGCACGGUCCGAGUGUGUGGGGCAGAAGAGAGAAGACGGGUCCUAGGCAAAGUGCAGGCGACAGCUGAUGGUUCAUUCGCUCAGCAACAUGCAGUGAGCUGUAAGCAUCCGCAGAGCUGGACAGGAGGAGGGAAGGGACGCCCUGAGCUCAACACAGCCGCCCACGAGGAGCCUCGGACCACGCAUCAUGGUAGGGCAUUGAGUGUCAUCUGAAAGUGAGCAAGAAGCUCUCUCCAGCACCUGGGACAGUGGCUCCAAGGCAUGAGUGACACCUGCAGAGUGAGAGACAGAUUGUCCUCAGGUGACACAGAGAGCAGGAGCUCUGAGCCAAUGCGCAGGAGACGUCUCCUCACGGAGGCUGGGUACUGGUGUCCCCAGGUGGGCUGCUGUCUGUCCCCUGAUUACAGGUGAGCUCUUCUGUAGGGAACAGGGAAAGGGGAUGUUCCCAAAACCUCUGCUUCGUGUCCCAGUCUCCUGCAAGCCGGGACAACACAAGGC
Molecule: long non-coding RNA, 3086 nt
Organism: Fukomys damarensis (Damara mole-rat)
Lineage: Eukaryota; Metazoa; Chordata; Mammalia; Rodentia; Bathyergidae
Source: Ensembl